UGAGUGAAGAAGGUUUUCGGAUCGUAAAGCUCUGUUGUAAGUCAAGAACGAGUGUGAAAGUGGAAAGUUCACACUGUGACGGUAGCUUACCAGAAAGGGACGGCUAACUACGUGCCAGCAGCCGCGGUAAUACGUAGGUCCCGAGCGUUGUCCGGAUUUAUUGGGCGUAAAGCGAGCGCAGGCGGUUUGAUAAGUCUGAAGUUAAAGGCUGUGGCUCAACCAUAGUUCGCUUUGGAAACUGUCAAACUUGAGUGCAGAAGGGGAGAGUGGAAUUCCAUGU
This 280-nucleotide ribosomal RNA is filed under the name uncultured Streptococcus sp. RNAcentral's name for it is "partial 16S ribosomal RNA". It matches the Rfam family "Bacterial small subunit ribosomal RNA", at positions 402 to 674 of the family's 1533-position model. The record is from RNAcentral. Lineage: Bacteria; Bacillati; Bacillota; Bacilli; Lactobacillales; Streptococcaceae.